AACUUUCGACAACGGAUCACUUGGUUCCAGCAUCGAUGAAGAACGCAGCGAAAUGCGAUAACUAAUGUGAAUUGCAGAAUUCAGUGAAUCAUCGAGUCUUUGAACGCACAUUGCGCCCCUCGGUAUUCCGGGGGGCAUGCCUGUUCGAGCGUCAUUACACCCCUCAAGCUCAGCUUGGUAUUGGGUCCUCGCCUCCCGGGGCGUGCCCGAAAAUUAGUGGCGGUCCGGAGCGACUUUAAGCGUAGUAAAAUUUAUCCCGCUUUGAAAGUUCGCUCCGCGGCUGGCCAAGUAACCCCGAUUACUUCAAUAAUUGACCUCGGAUCAGGUAGGGAUACCCGCUGAACUUAAGCAUAUCAAUAAGCGGAGGCU
Molecule: unclassified non-coding RNA, 369 nt
Filed under: uncultured Parmeliaceae
Lineage: Eukaryota; Fungi; Ascomycota; Lecanoromycetes; Lecanorales
Description: sequence contains ITS2
Rfam family: 5.8S ribosomal RNA (bases 1-154)
Source: RNAcentral